RNAcentral lists this ribosomal RNA (443 nucleotides) under uncultured Hyphomicrobium sp. Its description in RNAcentral is "bacterial SSU rRNA". It matches the Rfam family "Bacterial small subunit ribosomal RNA", at positions 335 to 795 of the family's 1533-position model. The record is from RNAcentral. Lineage: Bacteria; Pseudomonadati; Pseudomonadota; Alphaproteobacteria; Hyphomicrobiales; Hyphomicrobiaceae.
UUUCCUACGGGAGGCUGCAGUGGGGAAUAUUGGACAAUGGGCGCAAGCCUGAUCCAGCCAUGCCGCGUGAGUGACGAAGGCCUUAGGGUUGUAAAGCUCUUUUGGCGGGGACGAUAAUGACGGUACCCGCAGAAUAAGCUCCGGCUAACUUCGUGCCAGCAGCCGCGGUAAUACGAAGGGAGCUAGCGUUGUUCGGAAUCACUGGGCGUAAAGCGCACGUAGGCGGAUUUGUUAGUCAGGGGUGAAAUCCCGGGGCUCAACCUCGGAACUGCCUUUGAUACUGCAAGUCUCGAGUCCGGAAGAGGUGGGUGGAAUUCCUAGUGUAGAGGUGAAAUUCGUAGAUAUUAGGAAGAACACCGGUGGCGAAGGCGGCCCACUGGUCCGGUACUGACGCUGAGGUGCGAAAGCGUGGGGAGCAAACAGGAUUAGAUACCCGUGUAGUC